RNAcentral lists this ribosomal RNA (437 nucleotides) under uncultured bacterium. RNAcentral describes it as "partial 16S ribosomal RNA". It matches the Rfam family "Bacterial small subunit ribosomal RNA", at positions 29 to 507 of the family's 1533-position model. The record is from RNAcentral.
AGCGAACGCUGGCGGCAGGCUUAACACAUGCAAGUCGAGCGGGCAUCCUUGUGGUGUCCGCGGCAGACGGGUGAGUAACGCGUGGGAACGUGCCCUUCGGUUCGUAAUAACUCAGGGAAACUUGAGCUAAUACCGGAUACGUGCGAGAGCAGAAAGGUUUAUCUGCCGAAGGAUCGGCCCGCGUCUGAUUAGCUAGUUGGUGAGGUUAUGGCUCACCAAGGCGACGAUCAGUAGCUGGUCUGAGAGGAUGAUCAGCCACACUGGGACUGAGACACGGCCCAGACUCCUACGGGAGGGAGCAGUGGGGAAUAUUGGACAAUGGGGGCAACCCUGAUACAGCCAUGCCGCGUGAGUGAUGACGGCCUUAGGGUUGUAAAGCUCUUUUCUUCGGGACGAUAAUGACGGUACCGGAGGAAUAAGCCCCGGCUAACUUCGUG